Molecule: ribosomal RNA, 392 nt
Filed under: uncultured bacterium
Lineage: Bacteria
Description: partial 16S ribosomal RNA
Rfam family: Bacterial small subunit ribosomal RNA
Source: RNAcentral
AUACGGAGGAUGCGAGCGUUAUCCGGAUUUAUUGGGUUUAAAGGGUGCGUAGGCUGUGCGUUAAGUCAGGGGUGAAAUGCCGUCGCUCAACGACGGAGCUGCCCUUGAUACUGGCGUGCUGGAGUACGGAUGCCGUUGGAGGAAUGAGUGGUGUAGCGGUGAAAUGCUUAGAUAUCACUCAGAACACCGAUUGCGAAGGCAUCUGACGAAUCCGUCACUGACGCUGAGGCACGAAAGCGUGGGGAUAGAACAGGAUUAGAUACCCUGGUAUUCCACGCCGUAACGAUGAUGACUAACCGUCGGCGAUAGACAGCCGGUGGCCAAGCGAAAGCGAUAAGUCAUCCACCUGGGGAGUACGUCGGCAACGAUGAAACUCAAAUGAAUUGACGGGG